RNAcentral lists this ribosomal RNA (441 nucleotides) under Acanthamoeba jacobsi. Its description in RNAcentral is "bacterial SSU rRNA". It matches the Rfam family "Eukaryotic small subunit ribosomal RNA", at positions 767 to 1082 of the family's 1831-position model. The record is from RNAcentral. Lineage: Eukaryota; Discosea; Longamoebia; Acanthamoebidae.
AUAAGUGUUCAAGCAGGCAGACCAUUUCUUCUGCCACCGAAUACAUUAGCAUGGAUAAUGGAAUAGGACCCUGUCCUCCUAUUUUACGUGUUGGUUUUCGAGGACCGGGUAAUGAUUAAUAGGGAUAGUUGGGGGCAUUAAUAUUUAAUUGUCAGAGGUGAAAUUCUUGGAUUUAUGAAAGAUUGACUUCUGCGAAAGCAUCUGCCAAGGAUGUUUUCAUUAAUCAAGAACGAAAGUUAGGGGAUCGAAGACGAUCAGAUACCGUCGUAGUCUUAACCAUAAACGAUGCCGACCAGCGAUUAGGAGACGUUGAAUACAAAACACCACCGUUGGGUCGUGGCGGGCCGUGCCCCGCGGUCCGUCGUGCGCGGCGAGCGUGCGGCGGCCACGGGGACCGCGGUCCGUAUCAGCCACCCGACGGCCCGGUGAAUGACUCCCCUA